RNAcentral lists this ribosomal RNA (382 nucleotides) under uncultured eukaryote. RNAcentral's name for it is "partial 18S ribosomal RNA". It matches the Rfam family "Eukaryotic small subunit ribosomal RNA", at positions 592 to 976 of the family's 1831-position model. The record is from RNAcentral.
UGUAAGCGUAUACCAAAGUUGUUGCAGUUAAAACGCUCGUAGUCGGAAUUUGGCAGUUCCGGAAGUGUGCACGUCGUGUGCGCACUUUGCGUGGACUGCUUUUGUGGUCUUGCGUAGGAUGAGGCACUUUCAUUAGUGAACGUCCUCACGCAACCACUCUUUACUGUGAGAAAAUCAGAGUGCUCAAAGCAGGCAUUUGCCGUGAAUGUAUUAGCAUGGAAUAAUAGAAUAGGACUCGGUUCUAUUUUGUUGGUUUGUUGGGACUGAGUAAUGAUUAAGAGGGACAGUUGGGGGCAUUUGUAUUCCGGCGCUAGAGGUGAAAUUCUUAGAUUGCCGGAAGACAAACUGCUGCGAAAGCGUCUGCCAAGGAUGUUUUCAUUGA